UAGGGAAUCUUCCGCAAUGGACGCAAGUCUGACGGAGCAACGCCGCGUGAGUGAAGAAGGAUUUCGGUUCGUAAAACUCUGUUGUUAGAGAAGAACAGCGCAUAGAGUAACUGUUAUGCGUGUGACGGUAUCUAACCAGAAAGCCACGGCUUACUACGUGCCAGCAGCCGCGGUAAUACGUAGGUGGGAAGCGUUGUCCGGAUUUAUUGGGCGUAAAGCGAGCGCAGGCGGUCAAUUAAGUCUGCUGUGAAAGCCCCAGGCUCAACCGGGGAGGGUCAUUGGAAACUGGUUGACUUGAGUGCAGAAGGGGAGAGUGGAAUUCCAUGUGUAGCGGUGAAAUGCGUAGAUAUAUGGAGGAACACCGGUGGCGAAAGCGGCUCUCUGGUCUGUAACUGACGCUGAGGCUCGAAAGCGUGGGGAGCGAACAGG
Molecule: ribosomal RNA, 429 nt
Filed under: Bacteroidota bacterium
Lineage: Bacteria; Pseudomonadati; Bacteroidota
Description: Bacteroidetes bacterium partial 16S ribosomal RNA
Rfam family: Bacterial small subunit ribosomal RNA
Source: RNAcentral